GACGAACGCUGGCGGCGUGCUUAACACAUGCAAGUCGAACGGAAAGGCCCUGCUUUUGUGGGGUGCUCGAGUGGCGAACGGGUGAGUAACACGUGAGUAACCUGCCCUUGACUUUGGGAUAACUUCAGGAAACUGGGGCUAAUACCGGAUAGGAGCUCCUGCUGCAUGGUGGGGGUUGGAAAGUUUCGGCGGUUGGGGAUGGACUCGCGGCUUAUCAGCUUGUUGGUGGGGUAGUGGCUUACCAAGGCUUUGACGGGUAGCCGGCCUGAGAGGGUGACCGGCCACAUUGGGCCUGAGAUACGGCCCAGACUCCUACGGGAGGCAGCAGUGGGGAAUAUUGCACAAUGGGCGGAAGCCUGAUGCAGCAACGCUGCGUGCGGGAUGACGGCCUUCGGGUUGUAAACCGCUUUCGCCUGUGACGAAGCGUGAGUGACGGUAAUGGGUAAAGAAGCACCGGCUAACUACGUG
RNAcentral lists this ribosomal RNA (468 nucleotides) under uncultured bacterium. RNAcentral describes it as "partial 16S ribosomal RNA". It matches the Rfam family "Bacterial small subunit ribosomal RNA", at positions 28 to 507 of the family's 1533-position model. The record is from RNAcentral.